This 315-nucleotide ribosomal RNA is filed under the name uncultured bacterium. Its description in RNAcentral is "bacterial SSU rRNA". It matches the Rfam family "Bacterial small subunit ribosomal RNA", at positions 28 to 334 of the family's 1533-position model. The record is from RNAcentral.
GAUAAACGCUGGCGGCGUGCAUAACACAUUCAAGUCGAACGGACUUUAUGGAAUAGCUUGCUAGGAGAUAAAGUUAGUGGCGGACGGGUGAGUAACGCGUGAGCAACCUGCCUAUCAGUGGGGAAUAACGUUUGGAAACGAACGCUAAUACCGCAUAAUGUAUACCGAUCGCAUGUUUGGUAUACCAAAGAUUUAUUGCUGAUAGAUGGGCUCGCGUCUGAUUAGGUAGUUGGUAGGGUAGCGGCCUACCAAGCCGACGAUCAGUAGCCGGACUGAGAGGUUGAACGGCCACAUUGGAACUGAGAAACGGUCCAG